UUGGAUAGAGUACUGCCCUCCGAAGGCAGGGGUCGCACGUUCGAAUCGUGUCAGGCGCG
This 59-nucleotide transfer RNA is filed under the name Candidatus Propionivibrio aalborgensis. It matches the Rfam family "tRNA", at positions 16 to 71 of the family's 71-position model. From Rfam's summary of the family: Transfer RNA (tRNA) molecules are approximately 80 nucleotides in length. Their secondary structure includes four short double-helical elements and three loops (D, anti-codon, and T loops). The record is from Rfam by way of RNAcentral. Lineage: Bacteria; Pseudomonadati; Pseudomonadota; Betaproteobacteria; Rhodocyclales; Rhodocyclaceae.